Molecule: long non-coding RNA, 230 nt
Filed under: Capsella rubella
Lineage: Eukaryota; Viridiplantae; Streptophyta; Magnoliopsida; Brassicales; Brassicaceae
Description: long non-coding RNA (CRUB_LNC004812)
Source: RNAcentral
UCGAUUAUCAAUGAAAUCGAAGCAAAAAUAGUUACAUCGUCCUUGUAGAACUAAUUCUAUAAAGUUAUUUCCAACUAUCUAAUAAAAACAAGAACUUUUAGUUCGUAUAUCUCCCAAUAACUUGUUGAAAAAAAGAAAAAAAAAAACAAAUUCCCCAAAUUAAUGGAUUUUGUGUUUUCACAAAAUAUAUAAAUUAAAAACGACCGUGAACUAAAACAAGGAAAAAAAAA